UACAGAGACUGCAAGCGUUAUUCGGAUUCACUGGGCGUAAAGGGUGCGCAGGCGGCCAAGUGUGUCAGGUGUGAAAUCCCGAGGCUUAACCUCGGAACUGCGCCUGAAACUACUUGGCUAGAGUACUGGAGAGGGUAACGGAAUUCACGGUGUAGCAGUGAAAUGCGUAGAUAUCAUGAGGAACACCAGAGGCGAAGGCGGCUGCCUGGGCCAGUUCUGACGCUGAGGCGCGAAAGCGUGGGGAGCAAACAGG
This 253-nucleotide ribosomal RNA is filed under the name uncultured bacterium. Its description in RNAcentral is "partial 16S ribosomal RNA". It matches the Rfam family "Bacterial small subunit ribosomal RNA", at positions 524 to 776 of the family's 1533-position model. The record is from RNAcentral.